RNAcentral lists this ribosomal RNA (253 nucleotides) under uncultured bacterium. Its description in RNAcentral is "partial 16S ribosomal RNA". It matches the Rfam family "Bacterial small subunit ribosomal RNA", at positions 524 to 776 of the family's 1533-position model. The record is from RNAcentral.
UACGUAGGGUGCCGGCGUUAAUCGGAAUUACUGGGCGUAAAGCGUGCGCAGGCGGUCUUUUAAGUCAGCUGUGAAAUCCCCGGGCUUAACCUGGGAACUGCGUUUGAAACUGAAAGGCUAGAGUGUGGCAGAGGGGGGUGGAAUUCCACGUGUAGCAGUGAAAUGCGUAGAGAUGUGGAGGAACACCGAUGGCGAAGGCAGCCCCCUGGGCUAACACUGACGCUCAUGCACGAAAGCGUGGGGAGCAAACAGG